GCGGAGGGCCGGAUGGCCGCUUGCGGCGAUGUCUUCGGGUGUCGCCGUGGGAGGAAAGUCCGGACUCCACAAAACAACGGUGCCGGGUAACGCCCGGCUGGGGGAACCCAAGGGAAAGCGCCACAGAAAACAAACCGCUUUUGUGCUUUGCUUUGGUGAGGCGCAGGAGUCAGGGUGAAACGGUGGGGUAAGAGCCCACCGCGGGGCUGGCAACAGCACCGGCACGGCAAGCCCCACCGGGAGCAAUGCCAAAUAGGGACCGCACGCGAACAGGUCGGGUAACCGAAACCAGUCGCAAGGCAUGUUUUGGCCCGGCGGUCCGGGUUGGCAGCUAGAGGGGCGGUGGUAACACCGUCUUUAGAUGAAUGGCCAUCCAGCCCCGAAUUACGGUCCGGGGUGGACAGAAUCCGGCUUAUAGGCCCUCCGCGCAA
RNAcentral lists this RNase P RNA (431 nucleotides) under Roseovarius aestuarii. RNAcentral's name for it is "RNase P RNA component class A". It matches the Rfam family "Bacterial RNase P class A". Rfam says of the family: Ribonuclease P (RNase P) is a ubiquitous endoribonuclease, found in archaea, bacteria and eukarya as well as chloroplasts and mitochondria. Its best characterised activity is the generation of mature 5'-ends of tRNAs by cleaving the 5'-leader elements of precursor-tRNAs. Lineage: Bacteria; Pseudomonadati; Pseudomonadota; Alphaproteobacteria; Rhodobacterales; Roseobacteraceae. The record is from RNAcentral.